Lotus japonicus is the source of this 1913-nucleotide long non-coding RNA. RefSeq lists it as uncharacterized. The transcript has 7 exons. The record is from RefSeq and is a predicted model, not a curated record. NCBI's taxonomy places the organism in Eukaryota, Viridiplantae, Streptophyta, Magnoliopsida, Fabales, Fabaceae.
AGAUAUCGUCAUCCUUACUUUCAACUCAUUCACAUGACAUCUUUCUUAACCCUAAUCCUUAUGCCCCCUUCUCUCUCAUCCUCUGUUUCGCCCCCUUCUCUCUUCCUCUGUUUCUCCCACCCCCCCCCCCCCCCCCCUUCAAGAUCUCAAAUUCUCUCCUUCUUUGAGAUGGAUUUCUUCAAUCAAUUCAUGUAGUAGUGAUGCAGAUCGAGACCUAAUUGAUGUGUUUCGCCCCCUUCUCUCUUCCUCUGUUUCUCCCCACCAUUCAAGAUCUCAAAUUCUCUCCGAUGGAUGUCUUCAAUCAAAUUAUGUUGUAGUAGUGAUCCAGAUCGAGACCUAAUUGAUGUCUUCAAUAUACAGAUCCAGGCCACAUCCAGAUCCAGGCCACAUCCAGAUCCAGGCCACAUCCAGAUCCACAGAGGUUUGUUAGAUCUCCUCUAUUAUAUUGCAUUAAUGCAAUUCAUAUACUCAAAAAAAUUCAUGUUAUUCUAUGCUCACAUAUGGAGCCAAGCAAUAGAUCUGAUGCAUCCAGAACCGCUAAAGCACGAGCCAAUCGGAAACAUAUUGUGUCUUCCAAGAGGAUGAAUGCUGGUAUGACGCAAUGCACUCCAAAGUCAUGUGAAAAUACUCCAUCAUCCAGUAGAAGUCCUUUCUCAAAUGUCACCAACAAUCUAUGUAAUCCUAUUAGCUAUUCGGAGUCUCCAUUGAUGUUGACCGGUGCUAUACAAAACAACAAAGUUACUAACAGAUUGGGUGAUUCAAUCCACCGUAGGAGAAAUGAUACACCAGGAACUGAAUCAUCCAUGAUCCAUUCUAAUCAAUUUUUAGUUACUGGUACCUUACCUUUCUAGGUGUAGGAAUUCUCAUGGAUUUCUUCAAUCAAUUCAUGUAGUAGUGAUGCAGAUCAAGACCUAAUUGAUGUGUUUUGCCCCCUUCUCUCAAAUUCUCUCCGAUGGAUAUCUUCAAUCAAAUUAUGUUGUAGUAGUGAUCCAGAUCGAGACCUAAUUGGUAUGCUUCUUCUUACCUUCAUCUCUGGAUUGAUUGUUGUUGUUUCUCUGCCAGAUUGAGGAUGGUUAUUUUCAGAUGAUGAUGAAGAUAUGGAGUAAAUUGACUUCAUCAAUCCUUACAAGACUAUAGCUAGAUAUCUACUCAUCGAGAGAUAUUUCUCAUGCUCUAUCAACAAGUAAGGAUUUCACAAGAGUCUAAUUCUUUUGAAGUAUGGUGCAAAAUCACCAUUGAAAUGUGAUUUGUUGGGAAUUUGUUACGAAGAUGUAUGGUCUCUUCACACGUCCUCCGACGUUCCGAUGAAGAUGAGGAUCAUGUUGCUAAGUCGCAGGUUAUAAGUGCGCAUGGUCCUUUAGUGGUGGUUGCUGGUACUGUAGGACUCAGCCAAUAUGAUGUUGUUGUUGUUGUCGCGUCUGAAACUAUGACAGUGGGGUCUUUUGGUAUCGUUCUUUGCGUGUCGUUUCGUCCAUUGUUUUCUAGGUUCAAUGGCAAUGACUAUUGCUCUAGUCUUCUUGUUUGGUAUGCUCGUUUGACCGAAUCAAAGCGUGCAUGUGCUCCUUCGACGGUUGAGGUGACUGCUAUGCUGCAGAAGUUAGUCAUGAUGUUGUUGAUGUCGCGCCUGAAACUAUGGUUUGAGACUAUGACAAUGGGGUGUCUUUGGGUGUCGUUCGUUGUGUGCCAUUUCAACAAUUGUUUUACGGGUUGUGAUGGCAAUGUCUUUUGCUCUAAUAUCGUUGUUUGGUAUGUUCUUCUGAGAAAAUUAGAGCGUGCACGUGGUCCUCCGGUACAUGAUGUUGUUGUUGUUGCUGCGCCAGAAACUAUGGUAUGAAACUAUGACAAUGGAGGUCAUGUUGAAUGGAUUUGUGUUAUUUUUUGUUGUUUUUUCAUUGGAUGGAUCGUUGUUGUCU